UGUAAGCGUAUACCAAAGUUGUUGCAGUUAAAACGCUCGUAGUCGGAAUUUGGCAGUUCCGGAUGUGUGCACGUCGUGUGCGCACUUCGCGGGGAUUGCUUUUGUGGUCUUGCGUAGGAUGAGGCACUUUUAUUAGUGAACGUCCUCACGCAACCACUUUUUACUGUGAGAGAAUCAGAGUGCUCAAAGCAGGCAUUUGCCGUGAAUGUAUUAGCAUGGAAUAAUAGAAUAGGACUUGGUUCUAUUUUGUUGGUUUGUUGGGACUGAGUAAUGAUUAAGAGGGACAGUUGGGGGCAUUUGUAUUUCGGCGCUAGAGGUGAAAUUCUUAGAUUGCCGAAAGACAAACUGCUGCGAAAGCGUCUGCCAAGGAUGUUUUCAUUGA
Molecule: ribosomal RNA, 382 nt
Filed under: uncultured eukaryote
Lineage: Eukaryota
Description: partial 18S ribosomal RNA
Rfam family: Eukaryotic small subunit ribosomal RNA
Source: RNAcentral